UUCCUCUACGCCUAGGACA
This 19-nucleotide small nuclear RNA is filed under the name Arabidopsis thaliana (thale cress). Its description in RNAcentral is "snRNA_16647". The record is from RNAcentral. Lineage: Eukaryota; Viridiplantae; Streptophyta; Magnoliopsida; Brassicales; Brassicaceae.